GGGACUACCAGGGUUUCUAAUCCUGUUUGCUCCCCUAGCUUUUGCUCCUCAGCGUCGAUAGCGGCCCAGUGAGCUGCCUUCGCAAUUGGUGUUCCUCCGAAUAUCUACGCAUUUCACCGCUACACUCGGAAUUCCACUCACCUCUACCGUAUCCUAGUCACAACAGUAUCGAUCGACAUUUCAGGGUUGAGCCCUGAACUUUCACGACCGACUUGUUGAACCGCCUACGAGCUCUUUACGCCCAAUAAAUCCGGACAACGCUCGCCCCCUACGUAUUACCGCGGCUGCUGGCACGUAGUUGGCCGGGGCUUCUUGUGGAGGUACCGUCAUUUUCUUCCCUCCUGAAAGUGGUUUACAAACCUAGAUCCGUCAUCCUACACGCGGUGUCGCUGCGUCAAGC
This 400-nucleotide unclassified non-coding RNA is filed under the name uncultured fungus. Its description in RNAcentral is "sequence contains ITS1". The record is from RNAcentral. Lineage: Eukaryota; Fungi.